AGCUCAGAGAUGCAAAAAGCCUGCGGCGCUCGGGAGGCGCCUGGUCCUGGGGACCUCUUUCCUCCACUCUGUUCUCAGCAUAGGAAGAUGGGGCUGGGGAAUUCUUUUUGGUUUUCUGGUUUUGUUUUGCUCUGGUUUUGGUCGGGUUUUGUAUUUUUCUACUCUUCCUUGGUUUUAUUUUUUCCUUUUUUUUUAUUUUUUGCUUUUUCUUUCCUGUCAUUUUCCCAGCCAAAAGCCGCCUUCGACCCUUUUGAUUUGAUGUAGCAAAGAGUGUGUGUCCAGAUUAUCUGAAAUAGACACAGAAGAAGCUACACAGAUGGUCAAGCAGGGCCCGGAAGAAGACCAUUCAGGAAAAAGCGGUCCAGGAUUCGGUGAUGGGCUGCCGGCAGACCAGUGUGGCUCAGACCUGGUGACUUUUUGGAGAGGCCGUAGAAUGAGGACAGCAGACACACGAGGACCUUGACUUCGGCGCACAGACAGUGCAAAAAGAAGACAAAGACGGACAGAAUCGAAAAAGAGCGUAUUUCCCCCUCCUACGUAUUUGUUUUUCCUGAUAGUCUCACAAAGCUGAGAGUCUGGUCGGGUCCAGCCGGUUAUCUUGUGGCACUGGCUGUUUCCAGUGGCUGUGCCUGCGCUUUGAGG
This 642-nucleotide long non-coding RNA is filed under the name Mus pahari (shrew mouse). RNAcentral describes it as "lncRNA (MGP_PahariEiJ_G0003298.1)". Lineage: Eukaryota; Metazoa; Chordata; Mammalia; Rodentia; Muridae. The record is from RNAcentral.